Cryptomeria japonica (Japanese cedar) is the source of this 709-nucleotide long non-coding RNA. RefSeq lists it as uncharacterized. NCBI's taxonomy places the organism in Eukaryota, Viridiplantae, Streptophyta, Pinopsida, Cupressales, Cupressaceae. The record is from RefSeq and is a predicted model, not a curated record. The transcript has 2 exons.
CGAGGCAAACGUCGUUUCCAGCGCAUUCUCUCUCCUAUAAAUUCGAUCUCCUUUCCAUAGUUUGGGCACUCUGUUUUUCACCAGCUGUUUUUGGUUUCUUUUUGUAGAGUUUUUGCAUUCAAUACUAAGGAAUAAAAAUGUGUUAUGCAGUUAAGUGUAGUGGGUGUGGAAAGAAUACAUGGGCAGGCUGUGGAAAGCACGUUCUGUCUGUUUAUAAUAAGCUGCCUCAAGGGGAUCGCUGUUUCUGCAAAGCAUGGCCUGGGGUUAAGCUAGCAGAAGCAACCAGUGUGGAUUCCCUGAAAACUCAAGCUGAUCAGAAAGCAACCUCUACAAGCUAAAUCAGAGCGAGUUGAUUAUCGUCUUAGAUUGGAAGGCAUAUGGGAGAUGGACGAUAAUCUAAACAAGCUUUGCUAUGUAUAUCCAUUUUGUGUUCGUCUGGCCCACAAUAGAUAUCGUAUGGGAAUAGUUUUAUAGAUUUAGCUUGUAUUAUAGAAGAUUAUAAUCCUCAGACUAGUUGAGAUGAUAUUUGUAGGGGAUGGGUAAUUUGUUAUUGUCAAUUCCUGGUUAUAUAUAGUUUGGUAAGCUAUGUAAUAGAAAAGAGGUGGACAAUCGUCCACCUUUCAUUUGCUGAGUUAGAUUAAUGAAAUUAAGGAGUGUUAUGAAUGUAUUAAGAACUGUUUCAAAUAAUUUGGAUCUAUAAAGGUUUUCA